Saccharibacillus sacchari DSM 19268 is the source of this 3062-nucleotide ribosomal RNA. It matches the Rfam family "Bacterial large subunit ribosomal RNA". The record is from Rfam. Lineage: Bacteria; Bacillati; Bacillota; Bacilli; Caryophanales; Paenibacillaceae.
GGUUAAGCAAGUAAGAGCGCACGGUGGAUGCCUAGGCACCAGGAGCCGAUGAAGGACGUGACGAACCACGAUAGUGCUUCGGGGAGCUGUAAGUGAGCGUUGAUCCGGAGAUUUCCGAAUGGGGCAACCCAGCUGGAUUCAUACCCAGUUACCGAUCGAGUGAAUUCAUAGCUCGACGGAGGCAGACCGGGGGAACUGAAACAUCUAAGUACCCCGAGGAAGAGAAAACAAUAGUGAUUCCGUCAGUAGCGGCGAGCGAACGCGGAUUAGCCCAAACCAGAAAGCUUGCUUUCUGGGGUUGUAGGACGUCUCACAUGGAGUGANNNNNNNNNNNNNNNNNNNNNNNNNNNNNNNNNNNNNNNNNNNNNNNNNNNNNNNNNNNNNNNNNNNNNNNNNNNNNNNNNNNNNNNNNNNNNNNNNNNNUGGGGUUGUAGGACGUCUCACAUGGAGUGACAAAGGGGUUUGGUAGGCGAAGAGGUUUGGAACGACCCGCCAGAGCAGGUGAUAGCCCUGUAGCUGAAAUUAAGCCCCCUCCGAGACGGAUCCUGAGUAGUGCGGGGCACGUGAAACCCCGUAUGAAUCCGGCAGGACCAUCUGCCAAGGCUAAAUACUCCCUGGUGACCGAUAGCGAAGCAGUACCGUGAGGGAAAGGUGAAAAGGACCUCGGAAGAGGAGUGAAAUAGAACCUGAAACCGUGCGCUUACAAAAAGUCAGAGCCCAAUUAAGGGGUGAUGGCGUGCCUUUUGUAGAAUGAACCGGCGAGUUACGUUUGCAUGCAAGGUUAAGGUGAGAAGCCGGAGCCGUAGCGAAAGCGAGUCUGAAUAGGGCGAUUUGAGUAUGUAGGCGUAGACCCGAAACCGGGUGAUCUACCCCUGUCCAGGGUGAAGGUGCGGUAACACGCACUGGAGGCCCGAACCCACGUACGUUGAAAAGUGCGGGGAUGAGGUGGGGGUAGCGGAGAAAUUCCAAUCGAACCCGGAGAUAGCUGGUUCUCCCCGAAAUAGCUUUAGGGCUAGCCUCGGAUAUGCGAGUUGUGGAGGUAGAGCACUGAUUGGGUGCGGGGUCCGCGAGGAUUACCAAGCUCAGUCAAACUCCGAAUGCCAUCAACUUAGAUCCGGGAGUCAGACAGUGAGUGCUAAGAUCCAUUGUCAAAAGGGAAACAGCCCAGACCAUCGGUUAAGGUCCCCAAGUGUGUGUUAAGUGGGAAAGGAUGUGGAGUUGCCCAGACAACCAGGAUGUUGGCUUAGAAGCAGCCACCAUUUAAAGAGUGCGUAAUAGCUCACUGGUCGAGUGACUCUGCGCCGAAAAUGUAACGGGGCUAAACACACCACCGAAACCAUGGCUUGAUGCUUGCAUCAGGGGUAGGGGAGCGUUGUAUAAGGGUUGAAGGUGUACCGUAAGGAGCGCUGGACAUUAUACAAGUGAGAAUGCCGGUAUGAGUAACGAAAAGAUCAGUGAGAAUCUGAUCCGCCGAAAACCCAAGGAUUCCUGAGGAAGGCUCGUCCGCUCAGGGUUAGUCGGGACCUAAGGCGAGGCCGAAAGGCGUAGUCGAUGGACAACAGGUUGAUAUUCCUGUACCGCCGUAAACCGUUACGAGCAAUGGAGUGACGCAGGAGGGAAGGGACGCGGACUGAUGGAAUAGUCCGUCCAAGUACCAAGUUUUGUUAGUAGGCAAAUCCGCUAACUUUAAGGACAAGGUGCGAUGGGGAGCGAAAAUUACAGUAGCGAAGGUCCUGGGCUCACACUGCCAAGAAAAGCUUCUAGCCAGGUGAAGGCGCCCGUACCGCAAACCGACACAGGUGGGUGGGAAGAGUAUUCUAAGGCGCGCGGAAGAACUCUCGUUAAGGAACUCGGCAAAAUGACCCCGUAACUUCGGGAGAAGGGGUGCCCCGGUAGUGUGAAUAGCACGAGGGGGCCGCAGUGAAAAGGCCCAAGCGACUGUUUAGCAAAAACACAGGUCUGUGCGAAGCCGCAAGGCGAAGUAUACGGGCUGACGCCUGCCCGGUGCUGGAAGGUUAAGAGGAGGGGUUAGCGGCAACGCGACGCUCUGAAUUGAAGCCCCAGUAAACGGCGGCCGUAACUAUAACGGUCCUAAGGUAGCGAAAUUCCUUGUCAGGUAAAUUCUGACCCGCACGAAUGGCGUAACGACUUGGGCGCUGUCUCAACGAGAGAUCCGGUGAAAUUUUAAUACCUGUGAAGAUGCAGGUUACCCGCGACAAGACGGAAAGACCCCAUGGAGCUUUACUGUAACUUGAUAUUGGACUGGGGUGCGAUUUGUACAGGAUAGGUGGGAGCCUUAGAGCUCGGAGCGCCAGCUUCGAGGGAGGCGCCGUUGGGAUACCACCCUGAUCGCAUGCUAGUUCUAACCUCGUACCGUUACCCGGUACAGGGACCGUGUCAGGUGGACAGUUUGACUGGGGCGGUCGCCUCCUAAAAUGUAACGGAGGCGCCCAAAGGUUCCCUCAGAAUGGUUGGAAAUCAUUCGCAGCGUGUAAAGGCAUAAGGGAGCUUGACUGCGAGACGGACAGGUCGAGCAGGGACGAAAGUCGGGCUUAGUGAUCCGGUGGUACCGCAUGGAAGGGCCAUCGCUCAACGGAUAAAAGCUACCCUGGGGAUAACAGGCUUAUCUCCCCCAAGAGUCCACAUCGACGGGGAGGUUUGGCACCUCGAUGUCGGCUCAUCGCAUCCUGGGGCUGAAGUAGGUCCCAAGGGUUGGGCUGUUCGCCCAUUAAAGCGGUACGCGAGCUGGGUUCAGAACGUCGUGAGACAGUUCGGUCCCUAUCUGUCGUGGGCGUUGGAAAUUUGAGAGGAGCUGUCCUUAGUACGAGAGGACCGGGAUGGACGCACCGCUGGUGUACCAGUUGUUCCGCCAGGAGCAUCGCUGGGUAGCUACGUGCGGAAGGGAUAAACGCUGAAAGCAUCUAAGCGUGAAGCCCCCCUCAAGAUGAGAUUUCCCACUUAAUUGGUAAGACCCCUUGAAGACGACGAGGUUGAUAGGCUGGAGGUGGACGCGCAGCAAUGUGUGGAGCUGACCAGUACUAAUCGGUCGAGGGCUUAUCCAA